Molecule: unclassified non-coding RNA, 305 nt
Filed under: plant metagenome
Description: partial contains 5.8S ribosomal RNA, internal transcribed spacer 2, and large subunit ribosomal RNA
Rfam family: 5.8S ribosomal RNA (bases 1-105)
Source: RNAcentral
GAAAUGCGAUAAGUAGUGUGAAUUGCAGAAUUCAGUGAAUCAUCGAAUCUUUGAACGCACAUUGCGCCCUUUGGUAUUCCUUAGGGCAUGCCUGUUCGAGCGUCAUCUAAACCCUCAAGCCCUGCUUGGUGUUGGGUGCCUGUCCCGCCUCCGCGCGCGGACUCACCUCAAAUCCAUUGGCGGCCCCCGCGUCGGCCACGAGCGCAGCAGAAACGCGAACUCGUGAGCCCGUCCGGGCGGCUCCCAGAAGCUACACCCACCCAGUUUGACCUCGGAUCAGGUAGGGAUACCCGCUGAACUUAAGC